CUUUUAGUAUAUUAAUUACACUAACCUUUCUAGUUAAAAAAUCCGAUAGGAAAAGCAC
Molecule: transfer RNA, 58 nt
Filed under: Myzostoma seymourcollegiorum
Lineage: Eukaryota; Metazoa; Annelida; Myzostomida; Myzostomatidae
Description: tRNA-Glu
Source: RNAcentral